UCGUGCUAAGCGGGGGGCUGGUGGUCCCCUAUACCCGAAACCCACCUUAUGCGGGGCUGAAUUCCCCGUCUGAGGCUCCCUGGGUUCGGCAUCGGCACAUCCGGUGACGUUGAAGGUUGGGUCCCACGCAACAACUACCUGCGAACCGGGUCAGGUCCGGAAGGAAGCAGCCCUAAGUAGGCAAGUGUGUGCCGUGGGAGUGCCCGGCUGGAGCCACGCAGGAUGUGUGCGACCGGGUCUGGGCUCGUCGAAGCGGGGUGCACGG
This 265-nucleotide signal recognition particle RNA is filed under the name Fervidobacterium gondwanense. RNAcentral's name for it is "signal recognition particle sRNA large type". It matches the Rfam family "Bacterial large signal recognition particle RNA". From Rfam's summary of the family: The signal recognition particle (SRP) is a universally conserved ribonucleoprotein involved in the co-translational targeting of proteins to membranes. The record is from RNAcentral. RNAcentral also lists the same sequence under 1 other name. Lineage: Bacteria; Thermotogati; Thermotogota; Thermotogae; Thermotogales; Fervidobacteriaceae.